This 376-nucleotide ribosomal RNA is filed under the name uncultured bacterium. RNAcentral's name for it is "bacterial SSU rRNA". It matches the Rfam family "Bacterial small subunit ribosomal RNA", at positions 96 to 490 of the family's 1533-position model. The record is from RNAcentral.
UGGCGGACGGGUGAGUAACGCGUGGGUAACCUGCCUCACACAGGGGGAUAACAGUUAGAAAUGACUGCUAAUACCGCAUAACCCGAUAGGAUCGCAUGAUCCAGACGGAAAAGAUUUAUCGGUGUGAGAUGGACCCGCGUCUGAUUAGCUAGUUGGUGAGGUAACGGCCCACCAAGGCGACGAUCAGUAGCCGGCCUGAGAGGGUGAACGGCCACAUUGGGACUGAGACACGGCCCAAACUCCUACGGGAGGCAGCAGUGGGGAAUAUUGCACAAUGGGGGAAACCCUGAUGCAGCGACGCCGCGUGAGUGAAGAAGUAUUUCGGUAUGUAAAGCUCUAUCAGCAGGGAAGAAAAUGACGGUACCUGACUAAGAAG